RNAcentral lists this ribosomal RNA (250 nucleotides) under uncultured prokaryote. RNAcentral describes it as "partial 16S rRNA". It matches the Rfam family "Bacterial small subunit ribosomal RNA", at positions 525 to 775 of the family's 1533-position model. The record is from RNAcentral.
ACGGAGGGGGCAAGCGUUGUUCGGAAUCACUGGGCGUAAAGCGCGUGUAGGAGGCUUUACAAGUCGGAGGUGAAAGGCAGGAGCUCAACCAUUGUAAGGCUUGCGAACUGGUAGACUUGAGUGCAGGAGAGGAAAGUGGAAUUCCUGGUGUAGCGGUGAAAUGCGUAGAUAUCAGGAGGAACACCAGUGGCGAAGGCGGCUUCCUGGACUGAAACUGACGCUGAGACGCGAAAGCGUGGGGAGCAAACAG